UUACCCCAAACUGUGACUGCGUCCUCCUACCGGCCGCAGGAACAAUGGACUGUCUGUCAGUGGCGGUGUUGCCCAAGCAUAACAGAUGUGUGUGGACACACUAGACAAUGGCGUGGCUGGAUAAGUGGGUUCCUGAUCUCAGAGGCGGGGGGGAGGACAGCAGCUUGUGUCCGAGACGCCCGAGUGGGGCGAGGGAGAAAUCCACAGGACCAGAUCCUGAGACCUUCAGCACAGCUGAUCCCAGUGCAGAAAUCUCAACAGCCUCAAUCCAUGUUCUGUGUGAAAGUUAGAGGAGUUUGGGGAUGAGAUAGUUGUCAGCCUGUCGAAAGAGAAAUAACUUUUGUUACUUUUGGUGUGUGUUU
This is a long non-coding RNA of Carassius carassius (crucian carp), 362 nucleotides long. RefSeq lists it as uncharacterized. NCBI's taxonomy places the organism in Eukaryota, Metazoa, Chordata, Actinopteri, Cypriniformes, Cyprinidae. The record is from RefSeq and is a predicted model, not a curated record. The transcript has 2 exons.